RNAcentral lists this non-coding RNA (31 nucleotides) under Mus musculus (house mouse). The record is from RNAcentral. Lineage: Eukaryota; Metazoa; Chordata; Mammalia; Rodentia; Muridae.
UCACAAGGUAGACCUGAGAGAUAGGAUUCUC